AUGCAAAGAACUUUGAAAAGAGAGUUAAAGAGUACCUGAAAUUGCUGAAAGGGAAGCGAAGGAAACCAGUGUUGGACCGAUCAUAUUUCCCUGGUAGCUUGCUACUUGGGCGCUGUGUUGGGUCUUGGGUUGUUUUUGGUUGGCAGUAUCGGAAGAGCGCUAAAAGAGUUGAUUUUGGUUGCUAGCGAUAUUGCUGACUGAGGAGGACGAAAUGGUUUUCUUUACCCCGUCUUGAAACACGGACCAAGGAGUCUAACAUAUGUGCGAGUACAGGGGUGUCAAACCCCCGUGCGUAAUGAAAGUGACAGUGGUUGGACCUUUUGGGCACAAUCCGCCGGCCUCAAUCCUUCGGGAGAACGGUCUGAGUGUGAGCAUACAUGUUGGGACCCGAAAGAUGGUGAACUAUGCCUGAAUAGGGUGAAGCCAGGGGAAACUCUGGUGGAGGCUCGUAGCGAUUCUGACGUGCAAAUCGAUCGUCAAAUUUGGGUAUAGGGGCGAAAGACUAAUCGAACCAUCUAGUAGCUGGUUCCCUCCGAAAUUUCCCUCAGGAUAGCUGCGAUCGGAGUUCAAUUUUAUCA
Molecule: ribosomal RNA, 578 nt
Filed under: Cylindrotheca sp. 3BOF
Lineage: Eukaryota; Bacillariophyta; Bacillariophyceae; Bacillariales; Bacillariaceae
Description: eukaryotic LSU rRNA
Rfam family: Eukaryotic large subunit ribosomal RNA
Source: RNAcentral